Molecule: RNA transcript, 1466 nt
Organism: Cannabis sativa
Lineage: Eukaryota; Viridiplantae; Streptophyta; Magnoliopsida; Rosales; Cannabaceae
Exons: 9
Source: RefSeq, a predicted model, not a curated record
CUUUUGAAGAAAGGGUUUAAGUGGUUUCAUCUUCAAGGGUUUUGAUUUGAAGUUCUCAAACACUCUCAUUUUGAUAAUCACAGUCCAACGGAAGCAAGGCAACUGCUUCUUCAAUCUUCAAUCUUCUUCAAUCCUCAAUCUUCAACCUUUAAUCUUCAAUCUCCAUUCUUCAUGGCUGACGAAACAAAGGAAACACAGCCCGCAAAAAACGAAACUGAGACUAAGGAUUUGAGCUCCAAUCCCUCAACUUUGAAGCCAUGGGAGCAGCACGGAGGAGUCAUAAACUUACCUCGUUUCGACUAUAACGCUCCUUCUUCUCUUCUUCAAUACUCUCAUACUGGCUUCCUCAUCACCUGCACUAUCAAGAGGGAGAAAAGCGCAACGAAAGAAGCAAUGUCUAUCCUUGGGAAGUAUUUUACUGGUAGCAGUAAUAAAAAUUCCAAUAGCUCCGCGUCUGAUGAAGCUUCUAAUUCUAAGAAAAGGAAAACAUGUGCAGAGGAACUAGAUAAUGAACAUGUCAAUGAUGAGGAAAACAAAGAUGCGAUUAAUCUUUCCGAGGACAAAUCUGGUGGCUCUGUGUUAUCCACAAAGAAUGAUACAAUUGAAGAGAGCAAUCAUGUUCUUUCACUAGUUAAGCUGACAGGGAGCGGUUUGCUUCUAUUUACCUUCACCAAAGGCACUUCUUUUGAUCCUGUACAAAUUGUGUCUAAUAUUAUUGAGUCUCGGGAAUAUGCAAGCUCUAGUUCACCCGAGUGGUGCCGUCGCAUAUUUCCUAUCCAAGCUACUUGUAGUUUGAAUGAGAAGGAACUACAUACACUUGUAUCAAAGCUUGUUCUUGAUUUCGUGAGCGAUAAACAAAAGAAAUUGGCAAAGCCUUUAAAGUUUGCAGUUGGAUUCAACAGAAGAGGAACUGAAGAGGCAGAGAUGAAGGUUCCGAAAGAUACUUCAAAUAUCUCAACCGGGUCUAACUUGUUGGAUCGUAACAACUGCUUUUCAGUAGUGGCUGCUGCAGUUAAAGAAGUUGUGCCAGAUUCAGUAGUGGAUCUUCGGUCUCCAGAGCUUUCUGUACUUGUGGAACUACUUCCCCUCUCUAGGGUACCGAACGGAUCAUUAGUCGUUGCUGUAUCAGUUCUCCCACAAAAUCUAGUCAGCACAAAACCACGGCUGUGUAUAAAGGCUCUGGUUUCAAAUGUCAAACCAAAGGGUGCAAAGCAUUAAGCAUGAGAUUGUUGUGUUCAAUAGGCAUAGCCAUAGGACCCUGGUAAAUUAUCUCCCUUUCAAGUUGGAAUGGUCGGUGCUCGGUUAAUUUUUCGGCUAGAGCCAUGGAUAGAACAAUCAUAAAGGGAUAUAGAUUAGUUGUUCAUACUCAAUAAAUAAUUUGUUUGGUUAAAAAUUGUCUAUUUUUUUUUAAAAAAUGUAUAGUCUUUUAACCUGUACAACAUUAUUUAAUUUUUAAUGAUUUUGGU